This 484-nucleotide ribosomal RNA is filed under the name uncultured bacterium. Its description in RNAcentral is "partial 16S ribosomal RNA". It matches the Rfam family "Bacterial small subunit ribosomal RNA", at positions 30 to 507 of the family's 1533-position model. The record is from RNAcentral.
AUUGAACGCUGGCGGCAGGCCUAACACAUGCAAGUCGAGCGGAUGAAGGGAGCUUGCUCCUGGACUCAGCGGCGGACGGGUGAGUAAUGCCUAGGAAUCUGCCUGGUAGUGGGGGAUAACGUCCGGAAACGGGCGCUAAUACCGCAUACGUCCUGAGGGAGAAAGUGGGGGAUCUUCGGACCUCACGCUAUCAGAUGAGCCUAGGUCGGAUUAGCUAGUUGGUGGGGUAAAGGCCUACCAAGGCGACGAUCCGUAACUGGUCUGAGAGGAUGAUCAGUCACACUGGAACUGAGACACGGUCCAGACUCCUACGGGAGGCAGCAGUGGGGAAUAUUGGACAAUGGGCGAAAGCCUGAUUCAGCCAUGCCGCGUGUGUGAAGAAGGUCUUCGGAUUGUAAAGCACUUUAAGUUGGGAGGAAGGGCAGUAAGUUAAUACCUUGCUGUUUUGACGUUACCAACAGAAUAAGCACCGGCUAACUUCGUG